GACGAACGCUGGCGGCGUGCUUAACACAUGCAAGUCGAACGGAAAGGCCCUGCUUUUGUGGGUGGCUCGAGUGGCGAACGGGUGAGUAACACGUGAGUAACCUGCCCUUGACUUUGGGAUAACUCCAGGAAACUGGGGCUAUUACCGGAUAGGAGCUCCUGCGGCAUGGUGGGGGUGGGAAAGUUUCGGCGGUUGGGGAUGGACUCGCGGCUUAUCAGCUUGUUGGUGGGGUAGUGGCUUACCAAGGCUUUGACGGGUAGCCGGCCUGAGAGGGUGACCGGCCACAUUGGGACUGAGAUACGGCCCAGACUCCUACGGGAGGCAGCAGUGGGGAAUAUUGCACAAUGGGCGGAAGCCUGAUGCAGCAACGCCGCGUGCGGGAUGACGGCCUUCGGGUUGUAAACCGCUUUCGCCUGUGACGAAGCGUGAGUGACGGUAAUGGGUAAAGAAGCACCGGCUAACUACGUG
This 468-nucleotide ribosomal RNA is filed under the name uncultured bacterium. RNAcentral describes it as "partial 16S ribosomal RNA". It matches the Rfam family "Bacterial small subunit ribosomal RNA", at positions 28 to 507 of the family's 1533-position model. The record is from RNAcentral.